This 397-nucleotide ribosomal RNA is filed under the name uncultured bacterium. RNAcentral describes it as "partial 16S ribosomal RNA". It matches the Rfam family "Bacterial small subunit ribosomal RNA", at positions 523 to 918 of the family's 1533-position model. The record is from RNAcentral.
AUACGUAGGGGGCGAGCGUUGUCCGGAAUGAUUGGGCGUAAAGGGCGCGUAGGCGGCCCGGUAAGUCUGGAGUGAAAGUCCUGUUUUUAAGAUGGGAAUUGCUUUGGAUACUGUCGGGCUUGAGUGCAGGAGAGGUAAGUGGAAUUCCCAGUGUAGCGGUGAAAUGCGUAGAGAUUGGGAGGAACACCAGUGGCGAAGGCGACUUACUGGACUGUAACUGACGCUGAGGCGCGAAAGUGUGGGGAGCAAACAGGAUUAGAUGCCCUGGUAGUCCACACUGUAAACGAUGAAUGCUAGGUGUAGGGGUUAUCGACCCCUUCUGUGCCGCAGUCAACACAAUAAGCAUUCCGCCUGGGGAAUACGGCCGCAAGGUUGAAACUCAAAUGAAUUGUCGGGG